AGGCUCUGAUACCAAUUGAUG
Molecule: microRNA, 21 nt
Filed under: Ananas comosus (pineapple)
Lineage: Eukaryota; Viridiplantae; Streptophyta; Magnoliopsida; Poales; Bromeliaceae
Also listed under: 1 other name
Description: microRNA 845c
Source: RNAcentral